AAUAUUUGAUUACUUUUUCCAUAACCUAAAAUAAUUGGAAUGUUCUUUUGCAAUCCCAUUCCUGGUGAGGACUAGGAAUAUGUAACUGCACCAUAUAGCUACCUCAGAGACAUCUCCAGGGAAGAGUGUGGUGAUAUGGAAAAAUGGGUUGGAAAGUCUUUUUCAAGCCCCAAGGAAAAGUUGCAGAGCCCAGGAGAGAAAUCUCAGUAUCAUGCCAAUGCAAGAAUUUUGUUAUCCCUUCUCUUGGGAGAAAGAGCCAAGAGGAUAGUUGCUGGUAUGUGAUGAAGGCUCUGAAAGGAAAAUAAUAAAUUCACAUCAAAUGGGCUUCUCCUCCUCCUACUCUGUGUACAGAAUGUCUUAAGGAGACCAUAGCACAGUAUCAGUACUGCCUCCCAACACUUUCUGUAUCCCAAGAACUCCUCCUAGUCCUUUGCAACCUCCAAUAGAUUCACUUAAAAUAAAACUCCUAUUUUGGUCUGUCUUCUGUGAAAUUAUUGGUGGUGUCUUCUGGAAGGUGCAAAGUGAUGAAUUCCCUCACUUCCUCUUAAUGUCUGAAAGAACUGGGAUUAUAAGGUGCUUUUCAGGGGCUAUUUAAGGAUAGCAUCCAUAAUUAAUAUCCAAUUGGAUUCAGCUAUUAGCAUCUGCCAUUUCACACUGUCAAAGAAACUGGUAUAUGCUUGAUGUCACCUGUCUUUUCAAGGGUACCCUACAUAUGUUGUUCCUAUCUAUCCUACAUAUUAAAGAAGGAGUGUCAGUAAAAUGUCAGCACUCACUGCGUUGUUGUAUCAGUAGAUAUCCUUUAGCCAAUCAGAGAUUUAUUGUU
This is a long non-coding RNA of Harpia harpyja (harpy eagle), 823 nucleotides long. RefSeq lists it as uncharacterized. NCBI's taxonomy places the organism in Eukaryota, Metazoa, Chordata, Aves, Accipitriformes, Accipitridae. The transcript is spliced from 3 exons. The record is from RefSeq and is a predicted model, not a curated record.